GCAACUUUCUUCUUUCACACUUCUUCUUCCUCCUCUUUUCUAUUCACCUAUCACACACCAUUCUCUUAAUGUCGACAUGGAAUUCAGCACCAUCUUUUGUAUAUUUCUUUCUUUUCCCUUCAUGCUUCUCUUCAACUAAUUGCUCACUUCCAUCACUUCCAAACACUUGGAAUAGUUACUCCCUCCCGGUUGCGUUCGUUGUUCUUACAUUCGUGAAACCUUUCAAAUGUGUUCUUAACUGAAGAUUUUACUUGUUAUGUGAGAAAGAAAAUGUUUGGGUGUUGAGAAUACAUUUGAAAGGUUUCUCCUAUGUAAGGUCCACCUAUGGAAUCAGGAAGGAGAAACCGCUCCUGGUGUUUGCAGGGGAAAUAUUAGAGCAGUUACUUGAUUAGAAUAAUAAUGGGAAAAGGAGCAAGCAAGCAAAACGUGGCGCUUAGUUCCAUUUCAAUAUUUCAUGUUAGUGGCUUGAAAUAGGUGAAUAGAGAAGAAGAUGAAGCAAAAUUGAUGAUCACUGAGGAAAAAGCCAGCACAAGGCUCCACUUUCUGAAUGCUGGAAAAUUCCUCUACUAAAUGUUCAUACUUUGCAUGAUUUAGCUGUCUGUGCCCUGCAAGAACAGGUAUAACCAAUGUGAAAGAACAUUCCCAUUUCACUUCAGAGCUUCUUCUCAAUAUUAUGUAGUGUGAAAUUUUUAACUUCAUUGAAGUAUUCAAGAAGAAGCAUAUCAGCACCUUGCUCUGAUUCAUGCCAUGGAGUUAAGAGCUGAGGAUGGAUCAACAAGGAUCAUGUAUAUAUAGUUAGCAAGUAGUUUUGUAAAAUGAGUAGAAUAAACAAUGAUGCCAGGGAGAAAAAUUCCAUCAAUUAUGUACUAUUUUCAAGUGUUUACAGUCAUGCCAUUAUUGAAUGAUGAACUAAAAUCAUUUUGCAGAUUGUUAUUUAAAUUGAUAACAUAUUCCAAAUUAAAAUUCU
Vigna unguiculata (cowpea) is the source of this 967-nucleotide long non-coding RNA. NCBI's taxonomy places the organism in Eukaryota, Viridiplantae, Streptophyta, Magnoliopsida, Fabales, Fabaceae. The record is from RefSeq and is a predicted model, not a curated record.